RNAcentral lists this ribosomal RNA (660 nucleotides) under Marinovum sp. Its description in RNAcentral is "bacterial SSU rRNA". It matches the Rfam family "Bacterial small subunit ribosomal RNA", at positions 36 to 743 of the family's 1533-position model. The record is from RNAcentral. Lineage: Bacteria; Pseudomonadati; Pseudomonadota; Alphaproteobacteria; Rhodobacterales; Roseobacteraceae.
CCAAGGGGGCUGCCUACACAUGCAGUCGAGCGAGCUCUUCGGAGCUAGCGGCGGACGGGUUAGUAACGCGUGGGAACGUGCCCUUCACUGCGGAAUAGCCACUGGAAACGGUGAGUAAUACCGCAUACGCCCUUCGGGGGAAAGAUUUAUCGGUGAAGGAUCGGCCCGCGUUAGAUUAGAUAGUUGGUGGGGUAACGGCCUACCAAGUCUACGAUCUAUAGCUGGUUUUAGAGGAUGAUCAGCAACACUGGGACUGAGACACGGCCCAGACUCCUACGGGAGGCAGCAGUGGGGAAUCUUGGACAAUGGGCGCAAGCCUGAUCCAGCCAUGCCGCGUGAGUGAUGAAGGCCUUAGGGUCGUAAAGCUCUUUCGCCAGAGAUGAUAAUGACAGUAUCUGGUAAAGAAACCCCGGCUAACUCCGUGCCAGCAGCCGCGGUAAUACGGAGGGGGUUAGCGUUGUUCGGAAUUACUGGGCGUAAAGCGCACGUAGGCGGAUCAGAAAGUUGGGGGUGAAAUCCCGGGGCUCAACCCCGGAACUGCCUCCAAAACUCCUGGUCUUGAGUUCGAGAGAGGUGAGUGGAAUUCCGAGUGUAGAGGUGAAAUUCGUAGAUAUUCGGAGGAACACCAGUGGCGAAGGCGGCUCACUGGCUCGAUACUGA